CUCUGGGUCUCGCACGCAGCAGCUGCAGACGCUGCCCGGCGCGGUGGGGCUGUGAGCAAAACGGCCCGCCGGUGUGGUUGCCCAGACUGUGCUGGGCCCUCCUAGGUGGAUGGCCCUGCCCCAGCCUAACUUCUGUACCCCAGCAUAACCUCCAAAGUAACAGCCGUGCCCUGGGAGCCUGUUCAACACUGAACAUAUCCCACAAUAACACUGUUCCAGCGUCGCUGGUAAAAAGCAGAAAUGGCUUCGCUGGAGGCAUCGACAAAUCUAAUGCAGUAACCUCAUUUUACAGAAGAGAACUCUAAGAGGAUAACUAACUUGGCCAAGAUCACAUGAUGUUUCUGGAUGAGAUUAGCAUUCAAAUUCGUGGACUCAUUAAAGUAGAUGGCUCUCUCCAAUAUGGGUGGGCAUCAUCCAAUCUGUUGAAGGCGUGAAGAGAACAAGAGAAGGAGGAAGGAAGAAUUCACCUUUUUUCUUGCUGCCCACCUGCUUGGGCUGGGACAUUGCAUCUCACCUUCUCCAGCCUUUGGAUGAGGAUUUACACCCUGGUUCUCAGGCCUUCAGGCUCUAACUGGAGCUACACUAUCAACUUUCCUGGGCCUCCAGAUUGCAGAUGGUGGAUCACGGUACUUUUUAGCCUCCAUCAUAAUAUGAGAAAAAAGAGGCACAGUGAAGCUAAAUAUAUUGGCUAAAGAUCACAAAGCUAAGUUGAAAUUUUUCAAGAUGAAAAGUUGCUAAAGAAAGAGAAAGGGAAGCGGUUUGCUCCAGUAUUCCUCUUUCCACCUUCCCACUGACUGGGAAGCGGCGGUUAGCAGAGCCACAGUCUUGGAUUAGAGAUAAGAGGGACAUGUUGAGGAAGGUGGAGUCUCCCCCACAGCCCUGGACCAGGCUCCAGUGCCAACAAAAGCCAAGAAGAACCUCUGGAGCAAUCAGUCUUACGGAAUCCCUGUAUUCUAGGAUUUGGCAAGCUGUCCACUGAAACAUUAUUUUUCCCAGCCUUCUUUGCAGAGGUGGGGAAACUGAGGCAAAGGGUGUUUAAAUGGUCUGCCCAAAGUCACACAGCUAAGAAGCAGUGAUGGGAUAUGAAGUCAAACAGUCUUAAAAGCAAGCUAUCCUGUUGCAAAAUAGAAAUUAGUUGAUAACGUCUUCCAGGAGACCUACGGCCAUCCUACUGAUAUGAACCAGAUCAUACCUGCCCUGAUGGGAUGCCAGAGAAAGACUGCUGCAAGGUACGCGCCACUCACAGACCUCUCCAUUUAUCUCACUGAUGCAAAGGACCCUGAGUAGGGAUCCUCUGGAAACAGAACAGAGGGAAGAAGAUACCUUCCCUGAAGCCCAGAUGUUCCAGAAGCCUGCGCCUCAUUCACAAAGUCACCCCAAAAAUGCCCUAGAGUUUGGAGUUUUGAAGAAGCGGGAAGAAGGCCUGAGUAAGGGCCUGGGAACCAAGUUAGAUCCUACUUCAGCAUCAGCACAUGCCAGCGAUGGUGCACACAGGUGGAGAGCGGCCUGCCCGUCUUUUCCAUGGUGCCCACAGACCCAUUUAGGAUGAAAGAUCAGAAAAUUCUCUCCAUGUCACCGCUUCUGAAACAUGUGAAUAUUAAUAUUUGGUGCCUAAAAGGCCAUGGCAAAUUUUCAUUGGUUUUAUCUUAUUCAUGAUUAUAGAGUUGAAAGAAUACAUAUUCCCAUGGGGAUCAAUGAAGACAUUCUCAUUUUGAAUGAAGUAGAAUAUAAGUUGUAAAGAUAUAGAAUUUUCCUGAACUGAACCUUGAACCAAAAAUCCCCUCAAUUAACCUGGAACUAAACACAGUCCCUGAAGAUAACAAGGAGUUUCAGGAUGCCACAGGGCUGUCUGUGCAGUAUGGGGCUUCUUGCUCUAUCUCUGGUAUCUGAGGCAGAUAGGCUACUCAGGCCCCUCUCUGGUCUCAAGGUGGGCUGGCUGAGAUGUCAGUUUCUUCCUCAGUGACAGCUUGGGUACAGUAUGUGUAAACUGAUUGUCAGCUGAGCUGAAGGGACUCUGCCCAUAUUGGAGUGUUCUACAAGAAGAGGUGUCAAACCUAAAGGUCUAAAAUUACUAUGAAAGGAGUAUUGGAAACCACUGGGACAAUUGUGAUCACAACUGGUGGUAGCCUUCUCGUUUGGGUGAGAAAGACAGAAAGGAGGAAGAUGUGUUAGUCAAGGUUCUCUAGAGGGACAAAACUAAUAGGAUAUAUGUAUAUAUGAGAGGGAGUUUAUUAAGGAGAAUUGACUCACUUGAUCACAAGGUAAAGUCCCAAGAUAGGCUGUCUGCAAGUUGAGGAGCAAGGAAGUCAUUGGUGGAUUGUUCUGGGUACCAAAACCUCAAAAGUAGGGAAAUCGACAGUGCAGCCUUCAGUCUGUGGUCAAAGGCUCGAGGGGCCCUGGCAGACCACUGGUGUAAGUCCAAGAGUCCCAGAAGCUGAAGAACUUGGAGUCUGAUGUUUGAGGGCAGGAAGCAUCCAGCACAGGAGAAAGACGGAUGCUGGAAGACUUAGCAAGUCUGUUCUUUCCAAUUUCUUCUGCCUGCUUUUAUUCUAGCCAUGCUGGCAGCUGAUUAGAUGGUGCCCUCCCAAAUUGAGGGUGGCUGUGCCUCUCCCAGUCCACUGACUCAAAUGUUAAUCUCCUUUGGCAACACCCUCACAGACACACCCAGGAACAAUACUUUGCAUCCUUCAUUCCAAUCAAGUUGACACUCAAUAUUAACCAUCACAGAAGGAGAAUUUCAGGCUGAGUCCAAACACUAUGGCCCCAGCCCCAGCUUCCCCUUUCUGGGUUGAAUAACCAGACUGAGCCUAAGAAAAGGAAAAGAGUUGACUUUCUCCCAAAAGGCCUGCAGCGGGUUAGAAAGCAAUGGUUUGGGGACCAUACUGAGUGCCUAGGAUGCUCUGGACCACAAAGCUUGAAGUCAAAUUGUUCAUGCACUUGUUUCAUGAUAGGAAGAGAGAGAGAGAGAGAGAGAGAGAGAGAGAAAUUUCCUUUCCUUGAAGAAUGGCAAAACACGUCUCUUGUUCUGGGGGCUAUAUCUUGAAGGGUAUCUGAUCUCCCCCUCAUGGGAGGAACUAGAAUGCCCUAAGGCAGCCGUGGCUCCUGGAGCUGAGAGAUCUUUCUGACACUUUGUGAGAGCUGCAAGGCUAAGUCUGGAGCCAGAAAAGUCCAUGUGGACAAGUGCAGAGCAAGCAGAUCUGAGACACAUGUGGGAGCAAGCUGGACAUGUCCAAAAGUCAGAGGAAGCAAGAGCAGACAUGCAUGAGCAGGCAGAUGAGGCUGGUGCCCAGGCAGCAGGCUGAGGCUCUGGCUGGGCUUUGGAUGCUCCUGAGAGUCCAGUUAGAGACCAGUGAGCAAACCCACAGUGAACUCUUAUUCCUCACGCAGCAGGACGAGGGAUUAAGCACAAAGCCUUAAAGGUCUGAGUGUCUCUUUAUCCUGACCUCAGGAAAGAGAGGCAAGUAUCAUGUUUCUAAAAGUCUGAGAAGUCUUCACAUGACAGCCUACACCAAAAGAACUCAAAUGCACAUCCACUGCAUACACGCAUGUGUGCACACAUAUACAUGUGUACACAUGCAUGCCCACACACAACCCUCUGGAAGAGGAAGUAAAGAGACUUUAUGUUUUCAGCCCCUCUUGAGGAAACUUAAACUAAGUCUUUCUGUGGGGUUAGUGGUGGAGACAGAGAGGGUCUGGGGUCACCGAGGCCGAGGUGGCUGGACCCAGAGGGUAGAGCUGAGGGGAUCCCCUGAGACUGGGAAGAUGGAGCAGAAGCAGAUGGCAGAUGGCAGCAGGUGAGAGCAGACUGGAUUUCUCCUAAAUCACCAGAUCCAGCCAACCUUUCUUUCCUUAGGGACACCUCUAGAUCCCAUUCCAAAUGAACUCUUUCUCUGACCUUUCACCUCAAUUCAGAAUUUGGGAAAUUUAGCCAUGAUCUUAGGAACACAGAGGCUUGAAACAAUCUUUUCUAACCACCCGUUUGUUCAGACUGUGUAAGUUCUGCUUCUGCAUCCAGUGUCAACACCCAAGAACCAUUUUAAAGGGGAGCCAUCCUUUGAAAUUAAACUUCUUUUAAUAAUAAAGACAGAUUUCAGGGUUGACAUAAAAGAUAGCCACAGUAAAGCCAAUCCUCCAGUGUAUAACAUUUUUCAAAGUUUCCUUCCUCUUCAUUGCUGGUGUUCAUGUACAGUCCAGAGUUAGUCUACAUUAAAUUAUAGAUUGUUUUCAGCAAUAAUGCAAACAUUUGGAAGCCUUCAAACUCUCUGAUAACUAACUUCUACAUUCUCUCUGCUAUUAUUAUAUAGAAAGGGAAAUUUUACCUGAUGCUGUUAAAGUCCUCACGAACAUAGUGAUCCGAAUUGGCUGAAGUGGAAAACUAAAUGUUAGCUGAUUUUCAAAACAAGAUUUCCACUCUGAAUUCCCAUUUUUCACAUGUGAUCAUAUGCCUUGUUGUGAAGUUGAACUAAAAAGAAACUCCAUGCCCACUGGCUUAAUGCUAGAAGAUAAUCUACAGCAUAGUAAUUUCUUAGACUUCACUUUAUUAGCCACUAAACUUGGAAUGAUUAUUUCUAUGUUCAAUUAUUAAGUCUAUAUCUCCAUUUCUUAAAAAGGUCUGAGGCAGCCCCUUUGAAUAUUAAUACGCAUUUAUUUUCACCUCUCAAAUAAAA
RNAcentral lists this long non-coding RNA (4667 nucleotides) under Homo sapiens (human). RNAcentral's name for it is "HSALNT0089436". The record is from RNAcentral. Lineage: Eukaryota; Metazoa; Chordata; Mammalia; Primates; Hominidae.